AAGUCGUAACAAGGUUUCCGUAGGUGAACCUGCGGAAGGAUCAUUACUGAAGUUCUUGAGAGGUGCUGCUGGCUUUCCGAAGCAUGUGCACCCUCUCAUACUUUACUCAACCACCUGUGCACCUUUGUAGUCUCUCGGACGAUUCUCAGUCUUCUGGCUGGGUGGGACAUUUGCCGUCAGGCACUUGUCCAAUGUCUGGGAGCUACGUCUACAUAUACACUGUAAAUAACAAAGAAUGUAUCACGGUCUCUCUGGACCUUAAAAAAUAAUACAACUUUCAACAACGGAUCUCUUGGUUCUCGCAUCGAUGAAGAACGCAGCGAAAUGCGAUAAGUAAUGUGAAUUGCAGAUUUCAGUGAAUCAUCGAAUCUUUGAACGCACCUUGCGCUCUUUGGUAUUCCGAAGAGCAUGCCUGUUCGAGUGUCAUUAAAUUCUCAACUCCUCAAAGGUUGUCAUGACCUUUGUUGAGCUUGGACGUGAGGGCUGCCGGCUACCCAGUCGGCUCCCUUGAAAUUGAUUAGCGCAGCUUUGGCGAGCCGCUUCAAGUGUGAUAAUCUAUCUACUCUUGAGUGUCGUCUAAAACGGCUUUGUGCUUCAAACCGUCCCUCGUGGACAACAUUUUUUGAACUUGACCUCGAAUCAGGUAGGACUACCCGCUGAACUUAA
This 666-nucleotide ribosomal RNA is filed under the name uncultured fungus. RNAcentral describes it as "eukaryotic LSU rRNA". The stretch from base 273 to 426 matches the Rfam family "5.8S ribosomal RNA". The record is from RNAcentral. Lineage: Eukaryota; Fungi.